Molecule: ribosomal RNA, 426 nt
Filed under: uncultured bacterium
Lineage: Bacteria
Description: bacterial SSU rRNA
Rfam family: Bacterial small subunit ribosomal RNA
Source: RNAcentral
GUAGGGAAUCUUGCACAAUCGACGAAAGUCUGAUGCAGCAACGCCGCGUGUGCGAUGAAGGCCUUCGGGUUGUAAAGCACUUUUCUGAGGGAAGAGAAAGGACGGUACCUCAGGAAUAAGUCUCGGCUAACUACGUGCCAGCAGCCGCGGUAAUACGUAGGAGGCGAGCGUUAUCCGGAUUUAUUGGGCGUAAAGCGCGUGCAGGUGGUUUGGUAAGUUGGGUAUGAAAUCUUCUGGCUUAACUAGGAGAGGUUGCUCAAAACUGCCAGACUAGAGGACGAUAGAGGAAGGUGGAAUUCCCGGUGUAGUAGUGAAAUGCGUAGAUAUCGGGAGGAACACCAGUGGCGAAGGCGGCCUUCUGGGUCGUUCCUGACACUAAGACGCGAAAGUAUGGGUAGCAAACGGGAUUAGAAACCCUAGUAGUCC